Molecule: ribosomal RNA, 452 nt
Filed under: Sphingomonas sp. PML4(8)
Lineage: Bacteria; Pseudomonadati; Pseudomonadota; Alphaproteobacteria; Sphingomonadales; Sphingomonadaceae
Description: bacterial SSU rRNA
Rfam family: Bacterial small subunit ribosomal RNA
Source: RNAcentral
UCGUAGUUUGAUCCUGGCUCAGAAUGAACGCUGGCGGCAUGCCUAACACAUGCAAGUCGAACGAAGGCUUCGGCCUUAGUGGCGCACGGGUGCGUAACGCGUGGGAAUCUGCCCUCAGGUUCGGAAUAACAGCGAGAAAUUGCUGCUAAUACCGGAUGAUAUCGCGAGAUCAAAGAUUUAUCGCCUGAGGAUGAGCCCGCGUAGGAUUAGCUAGUUGGUGUGGUAAAGGCGCACCAAGGCGACGAUCCUUAGCUGGUCUGAGAGGAUGAUCAGCCACACUGGGACUGAGACACGGCCCAGACUCCUACGGGAGGCAGCAGUGGGGAAUAUUGGACAAUGGGCGAAAGCCUGAUCCAGCAAUGCCGCGUGAGUGAUGAAGGCCUUAGGGUUGUAAAGCUCUUUUACCCGGGAUGAUAAUGACAGUACCGGGAGAAUAAGCUCCGAGCUACUCC